UACGGGGGGAGCAAGCGUUGUUCGGAUUUACUGGGCGUAAAGGGCGCGUAGGCGGUCAGCACAAGUCAGUUGUGAAAUCUCCGGGCUUAACUCGGAAAGGUCAACUGAUACUGUGCGACUAGAGUGCGGAAGGGGCAACUGGAAUUCUCGGUGUAGCGGUGAAAUGCGUAGAUAUCGAGAGGAACACCUGCGGCGAAAGCGAAUCUCUGGGCGACUCCUGACGCUGAGGCACGAAAGCCAGGGGAGCAAACGGG
This 254-nucleotide ribosomal RNA is filed under the name uncultured bacterium. Its description in RNAcentral is "partial 16S ribosomal RNA". It matches the Rfam family "Bacterial small subunit ribosomal RNA", at positions 524 to 776 of the family's 1533-position model. The record is from RNAcentral.